Vombatus ursinus (common wombat) is the source of this 2181-nucleotide long non-coding RNA. RefSeq lists it as uncharacterized. The transcript is spliced from 3 exons. The record is from RefSeq and is a predicted model, not a curated record. Lineage: Eukaryota; Metazoa; Chordata; Mammalia; Diprotodontia; Vombatidae.
GGCCAUAAUAAGCAGACUGAAUGGAAUCUUUAGCAGGCAUUUGACUGAUUAAAAGACCAUCAAACUUCUAAAGCCACAAGCUCCCCAAAGCAUCCAUUCUCUAUCUCACAUUUGAAAAGAAGUUUCUUAUUCGUUACUGGACCCCAGUUGCUACUGAACAGAUGAUACAAAGUCAUGCCAUCCAUUAUCUUUCAUCCAGAGUUGCUUAUGAGUUGUGUGAUGUGAGAUUGUUCAUCUAAUAAGUUGACUAGAGCACAGAAAAUCUCCAUUGUUAAACAUAAAUUCAAGAUCUCACCUGUCCAGCUUUCUUGGAUGCUAGUGCCUUUCAUGAACAGACUGCAACUCCGUCAGAGGCUAAGGUUUGCAAUUUUCCAAUCUUCCAAUAUCAUGUAGGAUAUCCUACCUUAUCUAUUAAUCCAGUGGUUGCCCCUGCUCCUGCAAGGACCUACCUCUUGAACAGCACUAUUUUGCCUAGUUUGUCAAUGACUUCAAUUACUAUGAUAGGCAGAAGCAACUAAACUUUGACAGUCAUUGAUCUGGUAAUGGAAACUACUUUGAGGGGUAGGAAUCCUGUUCUCCCAGUGGUAUGAGCUACAAGCCAUGAUCUGUGUGUGAGAGAGCCUUGAGGAAUGAAUCAUAUAAGAUCUUCAUCUACACUGGUGUCUGGAGAAAACAGGACUGGACUUUCAACUCUUCAAAGAAAACAAUGGUCGAUCUUCUCCAGCCCUUAUCCCAUCUUUAGUUCAGAGUUGCUCAGGUCUUGAAGUCCCUGCCUCCUCAGAAAUCUCUAUGCCCACUAGAAAUAGCUCAGAUCUACAUGAUUGGCAGUUUUUCUUUUUCCCCACAGCAUUUUAAACGAUGUGACCUCAAUGGCAAAACUUAUCUGUACUUAGAACUGUGCCCAACAUAUUAAGGCCAUAUGGUAAUUGUCUGAGGCUAGAUUUGAACUCAGGUCCAGUGCUCUAUCCGCUGUGUCGCCUAGCUACCAUGAAUGCAGGUACAUUAUUAACUUUUUUUUCCUUCAGCACAUUUUUAUAUAUGCAAAAAUUGUUGAAUGGAAAACUAAAAUUGGGAUUGGCAUUGCCUAUAGGGUCAUAGAGUAAUGUAGAGCUGGAAGGAAAUAUCCAAAGUAAUAUAGUCCAAUCCUUUCAUUUUACAACAGAGGAAACUGAGGUCAAAAGCUAAGAUAUUUGACUGCUAACAGAACUAGAAUGUUAACCCUUUUUCCUGUAUCAUGUUACCUAUUUAUAGCUCUGAUCGUGUCACUAUCCUGAUCAAAGACCCUUUAAUGGUUCACCAUUGCAGGACAAAGUUUGAAUUCCUAAGCCUGACAUUUAAGGUAUUCACUUUGUGCUUCCAAUGGAUAUUUUUGCCUUAUUUUGCAAAAUAACAGUAUUCUAAGAGUAGGCAUUUUGUUCUAGGAAUGCCUAUGAUCUUCCAUUUGAGCCAAAAUGGAAUGCUGCAUUCACCAUUUCCCAAAUAUACCCUUGUUUUCCCUGUUUCUUAGCUCUUGGUGAUCUUUACUACAUCAAUUUCCUGAGAAGCAAGGUUGUAAAAUGGAUAGAGACCUGGCCUCAUAGACCACAAGACCUGGAUACAAGUCUCAUAUCUGAUUCCUAUUAAAUGUGUGAUCCUAAGCAAGUCACUUAACUCUCUCAUGGUUCUAGAAAAUUUUCUUGGACUAUAUGUUCCAGCGAAGAUGAUGCCCUGUAUUGCUGAAUGGAAUUUUCUUGUUUCGGGUGCCAGAGGUGAUCUCCAAAUGACCCAGGAAUUCAAGCCAUAACAAUGAAUAAUCUUGGAGCCAGGAUUGAAGGUCAUUCUGCCAGGAAGUCCCACAAUGCAUACAUGCAGCCCACAGGUCAGAAUGCAAAAACUAAUUCCUGCAAUAAAAUAGUUUUAGAAUUGUGUGCAAAGUCAGCUGCUUGUGCUGAAUCAAUCUGGGUGAUUCCAUUUUUAAAACUUGGUCUAGACUUUGAGUUCAGGAAGAUGGUAGUGGCAAGCUCCGUAAUCCCAUUUUCCUAGGAAACUUUAAUGAGGGAGGAGCUGAGAUGGCACUAAUCUCAUCUCUUCAUAAUGAUGUGUACCAAUCAAAAUACUUUUUGCCCUUAUAUGGAAGCUGAUUACUCCUGCCUAGAAAAAGCAGCUCACAAUUUGAAUAGACCCUGCCACACCCAACCUCCA